CAUCUCUAAAGGUGUGGAUGUACCUACUCGUCAAAGCCGAAUAAAGAUGAUCCGUAAAAUUUGAAGCUGGUAUCUUCCCCUCUAAAGCUCAAAAAAACAUCCCAUCUCCGAUAUUGAAAAGAAGAGGUGCCUGAAGAAGCCAUUCUUGGGAGCUAUCUGGUUGUGAGUCCCAAAUUCCAAGACACUGAGAAAAUUUUGGGUCGUCAUGGAAAGAUUCUCUCUCUCGACCUUUUUAACAUAGGAACUUCCUCUAAUCUUGCAAGGAACUUUCAUAUUUUUUAUUUUAUCUUAUUCUUUUUAGUUUUUAAUUUUGUUAAUGCCUAUAUGCAUUGUGUUUGGAACAAAGGGCGAGGCUUCAUGGAAAGGCCGGUGCAUUUUCUUUCUGUGAGAGGUGAAUAGGCCAGGAAAGAAGGUGGACAUCAAAGUCAACACUGACUGCUAUUGCCUGCCUCUUUUCUCAUUUUUGGACUAUGUUGUAGCUUUUUCAUUCCUUAAUCCCAUACCAUCAGUAAUCAACAUUUUAUCAAUUUUUCUUAUUUUUUAUUGUUUACAUUUAGAAAUAUUAAUUUUAAAAUUUUAACUUAUAAGUUAAUUUAUAACCACAGCAACAACAACAACAAUAAUUAGGAGUAAAGCAUAUUAAAGGUUUGUUGAGAAUGAUUUUGAUAAAAAUAAUUUAAACUUGUAAUAGUAUUAUUAAUAACAAUUUAUUAUAUAUAAAUUUUUAUAGUCAUUUAAUGUUCACAUAUAAGUGAAAAAAUGUUCUUGAUAAUUUGUGUAUUAAAGGUUUGGGAUACAAUUUUAAAAUUCACCUUCCCUAUUUUGUCAUCAAUGAUUCGCUGAGUCCUUUUUAAAAAUGAUAAAAUUUAAAAUAAAAUUCACUUUGUGUCUUGACGCUUUUUCUUUUUGACCAAGACUCUCUGUGUCAGCCUGACGCUUUUUCUUUUUUACCAAGACUCUGUGUUUAUAUGAGGGAGAGAAAGAGAGAGAGAGAGAGAGAGAGAGAGAGAGAGAUAUGCUCUUUUUAGCAAGGUGGCAUCUCAGCAACUACAAGGUUUUUGAGACAAUUAUUUUCUUGGCUAUAGAAUUGCUAAGCCCUAUUUCAUAUUUGAUUUUCACUUGGGAAAAUAAGAAAUGUUUUAACUUUCUCUAAUUUUAUUUUUUUCCCUUUCGUUUUUUCAACCUCUAAAUUUUACAACAUGCAAAUGCAAUUAAUAAUUAUUGACUUACAAAAAUAAAUUAAAUUAUCUCAAUUUCAUUUUCAUGUAAUUGAAUUGAAAAAUGAAUUUACCGUAAAUGAGAAAAAAUGUUAAUUAAAAAACCAAGCUAAUUUGAAAUAGGUGGUAUUUUUUAUCAAGAAAAUUUAAAUCUAAAACUUUUAAAUUUUCACUCAAAAGAAAAAUUGGUAAAUACAAAUAACUUAAUUUGAUUAAGAAAUGAACCUAACAGCCUUCUUGUCCAUCUUGUUGCGUAGAUGAUUAGGUACAAAGACAUAGCAAACACAUCCGAAAACUCGAAAAUAACUAACUGUAGGCUUUAUGUUCCACAAUUUUUCAAAGGGUGAUGAAAAAUUUAACCUUUGUUGAGGAAGCCUAUUGAUCACAAAAGCUGCAGUCUUCAUUACUUCUGCCCAAAACCGUCCUGGAACAUUCUUUGCAUGAAGCAUACUUCUACAGAUUUCUGCUAGGUGCCUGUUCUUUCUUUUUGCUACGCCGUUUUGAUGCGGAGUGUUGGCACAUGUGAAUUGAUGGCGUACUCGGCAUUCUCGGAGGAAGUAAAAAAACUCAUCUGAGGUAUACUCUCCCCCAUUGUCAGUACACAGACAACAAAUUCUCUUAUCAACCUCUGCUUCCGUCAUUUCCUUGAAUUCUUUAAACUUUGAGAAAGUUUCAGAUUUUUAUUUCAUAAAGUACACCCACACGUACUUGGAAAAAUCAUCAAUAAAGGUCACCAUGUAUUUCAUCCCACUAAGAGAGGCUUGCUUAACAGGUCCAAACACAUCAGAGUGAAUUAGCUCUAAUGGCCCCUUUGCUUUCCAUUUUGACUCUUCAUACGGCAACUGAUGCGCUUUGCCGUACUGACGUCCUGCGCAGAUUGUAUCUUUUCUCACUUCAAGUUGUGGAAGUCCCUUCAGCAUUGACUUUUUCAUCAUCACAGUUAGUUUGGAAUAACUAACGUGACUUAAUUGCAUAUACCAUAAAUCGGCUGUCUCGUUCUUUCUGGUCUUGUCUACAUAUGCGGUUUCUGCAAACAUCACAUAGACUGACUCUAGUCUCCGUCCCUUUAUCACCGGCUCUUCCAUAAUCUCAAGGUCACGAUAAACUUUCACAUCUUGAGGGCCAAAUAGAACAAAAUGGCCUGAAGACGUUAAUUGUGCAACCGAGAGAAGAUUUUUCUUCAUACCUGGGACGUGAUAGACAUUUUGAAGCAUCACAUCAUUAGUAUUAUAUUGGGAAAAGACUACUGUAUUACCAAUGUGAGCUAUUGGUAGUUUUGAGUUGUUCGCUGUGACUACCAUAUGUCUUCCCUUGUACUCCGAAAAAUCCUGCAGCUUUUCUUUAUCACCUGUCAUAUGAUUUGGGUAGCCUGAGUCAAUGAUCCAAUCCUUCUCAUAAUGAAUUUGUUUAGACGUUGUUGCUAUAAAAGCUAAUUCUCCUAUUACAACAAAAAAUGCCUGAGUGUCCCACUCAUCUUCACUUUUGGAAGUAGCAGCAUUACUUUCCACAAGCCCUUUUUUCGACCAACAAUCUUUUGCCAUGUGACCCUUUUUUCCGCAAUUGUAGCACUUCCCUUCAAAUUUUUUUCCUGGUGCCAGGAUUCUUCGAAUCUCCCUCAACACGAGCACUCCUUUCACCUUGACUACUUUUUGCCUUGUCCUCAUUCUUUUUAGUUCUAUCGACGGUGUGCUGCUUGGAAUUCCACCUGCCUUUGUGGGCAUAAAGCGCUUCCUCUUCACCCUUGAGUGAAACCCCUCCCAUUUGUUUAGCUAAGGCUUCUUGACCAGUAAGCAAAUUCUCAAACUCAACAAGUGAUGGUUGAUUUUGCCAUCCCUGUACAACAGCAACAAAACCUCUGAAUUCUGGUCUCAAACCAUGGAUGAUUAUUCUCUUCAUCCUGGUUUCACCGAUUGGGGCUUCUAGAUCCAACUCGAAAAUUUCCCGGCAUAACGUCUUCACCUUGUGAAAGUACUGAGUGAUCGUCAAGUCACGUUGUGCUACCGACAACAACUCGCUCUCUAGAAGUUGGAGCCUUGUGUCAUUCUUCUUUGAGAACAGCUUGGUGAACGUAUUCCAAGCUUCGUAAGGGGUUUUGGCAUCUCAAAUGUGCUCUAGCACAUCUUCUUCGAUCGUUGUCUUCAAAGCAAACAUCGUUUUGCCUGCUUUUAUCUUCCAUAUCCGCAGUAUACCAUUCACAUCCUCAGCCUCCAAUUGAGUAAUUUCGCUUCUGUUCACAACCUCCCACAAGUCUUGGCCUUGCAUGUACGACAUCAUGCAUGUUAACCAAGUAUUGUAAUUUUGGUUGUUGAGCUUUUUUAUUCCGCCAAUGACUUGAAGAUCACCCAUUUCACUCUCUCUUUUCCUCACGUGUUUGACUCUCAAACACUCUCUAAAAUCCCUCUUCAACCUGACUCUGAUACCAAAUGUUGAAACCACUUUAUAAAAGAGACACAUAGAGGAGGAAAGAAAAUAAUUUUAUUGAUAGGGUGAUAUUUUUAAACUUCACCUGAUACAAGCCUUUUAUAGGCAAAACCAUCAACAGAAAUAGAAAUACUAAAAAAUAGGAAUAGAAAGAUAACCAGUCACUCUAAACGUGCUGCAACGACCUCUCUAAGACUUGGACAAUUCUUAAUUUAUUGAAAAACUACACAGAGGCAUAUUUUUGACACAAAAACAAACUUGACUUGUUCAAUACAUCCUCUCGGUCACAUGCUGAUGUUGAUAACUUAAACAACUUAUUUGUACAAAUUUUUCCCCUAGGAUAUCUGCUAGAAGUUGUUUUUGUAAUUCAAGCAAUGGAUAGUGUUGCCAUGCCUCACGAACAUUUGAAAGAAAGAUAGCAUCUUCAAAUUGAUGAGCAAUUUCGUUGUAUAUUACUUUGGCGAGGAUGGUCUUUCCUAUUCCACCAAGUCCAUAUAUUCCUAUCACGCGAACAUCAUUUGACCAGUGCAUUCAUUUCUUCCAAACGGAAAUCCAUUCCGACGAGGUUCUCAUCAACAUGAAAGCGUUUAGGUUAUGUUUGGUUCCCGAAAAAUAUUAAAGAAAGAAAAAAAAUGCAAAGAAAAAUGAUUUUUUCAUGUUUGGUUGUCCUAUGAAAAAUAUAAAAGAAAAUCAAAUAUAAUUAAAACUAAUUAAAAACUUAUGUAUUUUAAAAUUAUUUAAUCUUUAUAUUAAUGAGUUAAAAUAAAUAAAAUGAGUUUGAAGUAAAAAAUAAAAAUAACUAAUCAACUUUUAAUCCAUUUUUUAUUUUCCUUCACUUUUUCUUUCCUUCUAUUUUUCCUUUGUAUUUUCUUUCUCUUGCAUUUUCCUUCAAAUUUUCUGAGAACCAAACAUAGCCUUAGGCUUCAGCAUAUUGGAAACGUUUUGAGUAAUGCGAUGAAUGAUCUCAGAUUCCCAAAUGGAAAGCACAAUAUAACAACCUCCAAUGAACUACAAAUUAAUUGUAAGAAAAAAAAAAUUGAUGAUGAUUUAGUUUUAGUUUUUUUUGAAGCAGGUGAAACUAUUGGUGGCAGACUGGCAGUUGCCAUUAGAAAAAUGAAAAAUACCAAUCGAGUUUAUUUGUGCCGCAGGUGAAACUACUUAGUUUUUUUAAAAUUACUUUUCUAUUUUUUAAAUAUGAUUUAAAAAUACCUUUCUAUUUUUUAAAUAUGAUUUAAACGUUUUUCUAUUUUUGAAAUUAAAACCCUAUUUUAAAAAAAUUAUGGUCAGUUUGGUGGUCAUUCUCUACAAAUAAUCUUUAAAAAUAAGAUGAAAUAAAAAAGAAUUUUGGAGAACAAGUAAUAUAAGUUAUUUUUACAUAUUUAUAAAAACAAAGAAAAGCAUUGGGAAGUAAUUUAAAAAAGAAAAUAAUAAAAAAAUAAACAAAGUCUGAUAGAUCUCUUUCUUCUUUUAUUCUCUCUCCACCAAUCAAUAUCAAAAUUUUUAAAUAUGAUUCCUUUUUAAUUACACUUUAUUUAUUUAUUUAUUUGAAUUUACUUUAACUUUUAAAAUUCUUUAGGUAAAUAAAUUCCAAAUCAAAUGGUACAUGAUAUAUAUGAUUUAUUAAUUUAAAAAAAAAAAUUAAAACUCAAAAACCAAUCCAAUUAGUGUUGGAAAGUUACAAAACUCAAAACCAAUAUAGAAAACAAAUUUUGUUAAUUUUUUUACCAUGAACUUCAAAUCAAGUAAAAUUUAAUAUUUUUUUAUUCAUAAAUAAGUUUAGUAAUUUUUAAAAAUAAUUUCAAACUCAAAUAAUAACUCAAUUAAUAUAAAAAAUUUAUAAACAAAAAUUAGUUUAAAAUUACUUUAUUGUUUGACUAAUCUAUAGAAUCAUUUUUUUCUUUAAUUUGUUAGCAAGUUUAUUAAUUAAAAAAAAUAUAGAAUUCAAAACAUAACACAAUUAGUAGUGGAAAUUCACAAUCUAAAAUCUAUCCAAAAUGACUCUUAUAUUUCUCAUACAAAACUUUAUUUUUAUGAGUUUUGUCGCUGAAAAAAUGGAUUUUUAAUAGAAUUCAAAAAUAGACCAAAGUACUAUAAAAAAUAAUAAACCAAAAUUAAUACAUAAUAAGUUAUAACUUACUGUUUCUCCUAAGCGCAUAACCAUAUUUUCCAAAUUUUCUUGCUAGGUAAAUAGAAUCUAAAUCGGGACUUAAUAUCUUAAAUUCUUUAAUGAAUCUUCUCAUUUUUAAGAUAAUUUGAAAUUAAAAAAAAAAAACUAAAGAUAAAAACUAAUCCAAAAUACUAUGCCCUUAAUUGAAUGGUAAAUGUAUAGAUGUACUAAAAAUUUUACAUAUUUAAAUAUUAAAAAUAUUAAACUUUAUUUAUUUUUAAUAAAUCGAGACUUAAUAUCUUAAAUUCUUUAAUGAAUCUUCUCAUUUUUAAGAUAAUUUGAAAAAAAAAAACUGAAGAUAAAAACUAAUCCAAAAUACUACGUCCUUAAUUAAAUGGUAAAUGUAUAGAUGUAAUAAAAAUUUUACAUUUUUAAAUAUUAAAAAUAUUAAACUUUAUUUAUUUAAAAUUUUUUUUUUGAAUAAAUCAAGACUUAAUAUCUUAAAUUCUUCAAUGAAUCUUCUCAUUUUUACGAUAAUUUGAAAUUUAAAAAAAAAAUUGAAGAUAAAAACUAAUCCAAAAUAGUAUAUCCUUAUUUGAACGGUAAAUAUAUAGAUGUGAUAAACUUUUUUACAUAUUUAAAUAUUAAAAAUAUUAAACUUUAUUUAUUUUUAAAUUUUAUUGAAUAAAAUAUUAUUAAUUUUAAAUUAUUAUUUAUUUUAAUAAAAAAUCAAUUAAGCUUGAGAAAGAUGAUCACAUUUUUAUAACAUGUACUAAAAUAGUAUCAUUUUUGUAUAUAUAUAUAUAUAUAUAUAUAUAUAUAUAUAUAUAUAUAUAUAUAUAUAUAUAUAUAUAAUUCAUUAUUUUAGUACAUGUAAACAAGCAUAUAGGAAGUGAGCAAUGGAUGCCAAGAACGGACUCUCAGUUAAUUUUGGUCAUGCUUAUCCGAUUUCAUCAAACUCAGUUUCCAACACUUAAAAAUCAAACAUAAUUGUGACUUAAGUUGUCGAUGAAUAAAAAGCAACUCAAAACGGAAGAGAAAGAGUAGUUAUAUAACAUGCCCAUGCUGCACAUGCCAUCCAGACAGACCGCCGGCUUCGGUCAGUGCCGCCCUCCAUCUCAGCACCCUCUCCUCAGUGACGUUUCCGUAUCUUGCAAAUGCUUCUCCAAAACUUCCCGUUUGUUUCCGCACAUCAGAUGGAUCCACAUGGUAGAAAAUUGGUAGAACUUUUUGGCCCUUUUCUCUGCUGCACUGCAUGAUCUUAUCAAGCUCAUCCAAGCACCAUUUUGAAUGAGCAUAGUUUUCUGAAAAAACGACAACAGAAAUCAUUGAAUCUUCAAUAGCUUUCAAGAGUGAAGGUUGAAUCUCUCGUCCUCUUUCAAGUCCUUCAUCAUCUCUAAAGGUGUCGAUGCCCAUCCUCGUCAAAGCCGAAUAAAGAUGAUCCGUAAAAUUUAAGCGGGUAUCUUCCCCUCUAAAGCACAAAAAAACAUCCCAUCUCCAUUGAAAAGAAGAGGUGCCUGAAGAAGCCAUUCUUGGGAGCUAUCUGGUUGUUAGUCUCAAAUUACAAGACAAUCAGAAAAUUAUGGGUUGUUGUGGGAAG
RNAcentral lists this long non-coding RNA (7345 nucleotides) under Vitis vinifera (wine grape). RNAcentral describes it as "long non-coding RNA (VVIN_LNC007503)". Lineage: Eukaryota; Viridiplantae; Streptophyta; Magnoliopsida; Vitales; Vitaceae. The record is from RNAcentral.